RNAcentral lists this ribosomal RNA (252 nucleotides) under uncultured bacterium. Its description in RNAcentral is "partial 16S ribosomal RNA". It matches the Rfam family "Bacterial small subunit ribosomal RNA", at positions 524 to 776 of the family's 1533-position model. The record is from RNAcentral.
UACGGAGGUUCCUAGCGUUGUUCGGAAUUACUGGGCGUAAAGGGAGCGCAGGCGGUCAUGUAAGUCUGGUGUUUAAUCCCGGGGCUCAACCCCGGAUCGCACUGGAAACUGUGUGACUUGAGUGCAGAAGAGGAGAGUGGAAUUCCACGUGUAGCGGUGAAAUGCGUAGAUAUCGAGAGGAACACCUGCGGCGAAGGCGGGUUGCUGGGCUGACACUGACGCUGAGGCGCGAAAGCCAGGGGAGCGAACGGG